GAUAACAGCGCAAUACCAUCCUAGAGUCCUUAUCAACGAUGGGGUUUACGACCUUGAUGUUGGAUCAGGACAUCCUGAUGGUGCAGCUGCUAUCAAGGGUUCAUUUGUUCAACAAUUAAGUCUUACGUGAUCUGAGUUCAGACUGGCGUAAUCCAGGUC
RNAcentral lists this non-coding RNA (159 nucleotides) under Chelonia mydas (Green sea turtle). RNAcentral describes it as "Bacterial large subunit ribosomal RNA". It matches the Rfam family "Bacterial large subunit ribosomal RNA", at positions 2473 to 2632 of the family's 2925-position model. The record is from Rfam by way of RNAcentral. Lineage: Eukaryota; Metazoa; Chordata; Testudines; Cheloniidae.